GUAGCUUCGCCCGAACAAUCUUCUCCGGCGGCGUAGCUGUAGAAGUACUGGCCGGUGCAACUGAUCCACCACCACCACCUAUUGAAAACAAUUUAAUCUUACCUGUAGUAGUUGUUAAGGAAACCAUCAAACCAACCGCCAACAAUCCCGUCAAUAAAAACAUAACCAUCUUUAAGGAUCGCCGCCGCCGCUGUUGCUGUCGCUUUGCCGGAGGCUCAGUCUCCUCCGGCAAGCGAAUGUAAGGGAAAUGAACAGCGGUGGUUGGAUCCUCCAUAUCUGAAAAUUAAUGUACGAUAUGGAUUUGACAAUUAAUGCCUCUAUAUUAUAAUUAUAUUAACAAAGAAGAACAUGUAGCUAGUACUAUAUGG
This 368-nucleotide long non-coding RNA is filed under the name Panax ginseng (ginseng). Its description in RNAcentral is "long non-coding RNA (PGIN_LNC014942)". The record is from RNAcentral. Lineage: Eukaryota; Viridiplantae; Streptophyta; Magnoliopsida; Apiales; Araliaceae.